Neogale vison (American mink) is the source of this 1215-nucleotide long non-coding RNA. RefSeq lists it as uncharacterized. NCBI's taxonomy places the organism in Eukaryota, Metazoa, Chordata, Mammalia, Carnivora, Mustelidae. The record is from RefSeq and is a predicted model, not a curated record. The transcript is spliced from 5 exons.
AUGGCUCAGCACGGAGAAAACAAGAGAGUGAUCUCAGGAAGACUGGUCUGUCUUGGUUGUCUCAAAUGGAAGGAUCUCAUCCUUUCUUAUGACUAACAACAGAAUGACUCAGAGUGGAAGCUCUGGAUUCAGAUGCUUUAGCGUCCUAUUUCAGCUGUACCAUUUGCUGUGACCUUGGGAAAGUGAAGUCUCUCUGCCUGGUUCUUCAGUCUAUUCAAAGUCUCUCCUACCUGCUCAGGUAUUCCUGAGAUGUGCUGGGCCUAUCUCAGAUGUGCAUAUAGGUGCCAUACUUGGAUAUGAAUUGUUUACCGAUGUCAGUGAAUCAGAGUCCUGGGUGUUCAUGAAGAAAGAAUGAAGGGUCACAGGUUAGAGACCUGUGGAAAGUGCUAAUGGCCCGCGUGUGUCUGGCCUGUGUUACAUCUGAUUAAGCCUGUCACAUUCAGCAGAGCUGCUGAGAGCUUGGUGGAGUUGGCCAUAUAUUAUAAGUGCUGGGAAAGACAUGACCUCUGCUUAUUUCAGCAUGAGUUUAUCUCUUGGUCUCUUUGAUCAGGGGAAGAAAAUUUAUUGUUGGUUUCUAUAAUUAGUGCUCACAUCCUCCUUUCCAUAUUUGUAAACGAACUGACUAGCUGUUCCUGCCGAUGAUUAAAUGGGAGUGGAAGAGUGGAGGUUAGUUAGUACCCACGAAAUAAAUCUAGAGUUAGGAUGUGGUGGAAAAAAACCUGGAAACUAUGCCUAACUCUGAAUAGUUUUUGCCUUGUUUUAUCUAACACUCAAUAAACGAACAAACAAACAAAUAAAAUACUUGAUUGGAUUUUGAAAUAUUCUGGCCAAGAUUAUCAUAGCUUCUCCCGAAAGUGGCUUAAAAUAGCUGGACUGAUGAAAAGAAUGAGAGGGAGAACGAGGGAGAGAGGGAAGGAGGGAGAGGAACCAAGGUCGUCCUUGGUUUCCUUCUAGAUAGGUAAAAAAACUACCUUAUGCUACAUGCAUUUAAUUUUUGUUUCUGUGUGUGGUUAAACAACCACCAUGAGCUGCUUCUCCCUGACUCAUGGAGGAUAAGAAGUAUCUGAUGGAGUUUUAUGCAUACAACUGAAGACAAAACACGGCCUUGGGUGGCUAGCAAGAAUUCAUUGCACAGCCUUGAAGGCGUUCUCUUGGACCUGUCCAAAUAACCCAGGUCUUCUGGAAGACACCUCAUUUAUGUCACCUCAACCUAUA